Molecule: ribosomal RNA, 253 nt
Filed under: uncultured bacterium
Lineage: Bacteria
Description: partial 16S ribosomal RNA
Rfam family: Bacterial small subunit ribosomal RNA
Source: RNAcentral
UACGAAGGGGGCUAGCGUUGCUCGGAAUCACUGGGCGUAAAGCGCACGUAGGCGGGUCUUUAAGUCAGGGGUGAAAUCCUGGAGCUCAACUCCAGAACUGCCUUUGAUACUGAGGAUCUCGAGUCCGGGAGAGGUGAGUGGAACUCCGAGUGUAGAGGUGAAAUUCGUAGAUAUUCGGAAGAACACCAGUGGCGAAGGCGGCUCACUGGCCCGGUACUGACGCUGAGGUGCGAAAGCGUGGGGAGCAAACGGG